GGGAUUCGUGGGUGGGUCAUGUUACUUUUUAAGAACAAUCCUUUCUCAAAAGUUGGUGUAGAGUUUGAUUAACCCGUCCCCGACGGCGUUAACCUUGGAGAUAAUUGCGAUCCAGGCAUAAAGAGAAGUCACAUCCUGGUGGUUUGACUUGCAACACACUUCAAACUACUCUCCUUGACUAUGCAUUGACGGAUCGUUUUGGUAGAUUGCUGCAACCCAAGGGGCAUGACAAGGGGAAGGAAGUUUCAAAUGCAACAACAAAAUUGACUCUACUUUUUACCAAACAAAGUGACCAUUUGAUGCACCCCUGCUUACAUCUUGGAAGCUCCAAUUGGAUCGUGAUGCUUAAACUCUGAAAAUGAAGACGAACUUCGAUAUCCUUCGAACUAUUAGUAUGGAAUGCCAAGGGCUUGAAAGUUUGUGUAUCAAGGAUCUGACCCUUACAGAUAAAUCGCCGAGAAGGUAGUUGGAUGGGAUCUAAGUCACCAUCUGAUGCAGAAUUCGGAAGCUGAUGCUAACUCGAGGCUUGUUUUAUCUUGUGG
Long non-coding RNA from Hibiscus syriacus, 542 nucleotides. RefSeq lists it as uncharacterized. Lineage: Eukaryota; Viridiplantae; Streptophyta; Magnoliopsida; Malvales; Malvaceae. The record is from RefSeq and is a predicted model, not a curated record. The transcript has 6 exons.